Molecule: transfer RNA, 85 nt
Filed under: Goniomonas avonlea
Lineage: Eukaryota; Cryptophyceae; Goniomonadida; Goniomonadaceae
Description: tRNA-Ser
Rfam family: tRNA
About the family: Transfer RNA (tRNA) molecules are approximately 80 nucleotides in length. Their secondary structure includes four short double-helical elements and three loops (D, anti-codon, and T loops). Further hydrogen bonds mediate the characteristic L-shaped molecular structure. tRNAs have two regions of fundamental functional importance: the anti-codon, which is responsible for specific mRNA codon recognition, and the 3' end, to which the tRNAs corresponding amino acid is attached (by aminoacyl-tRNA synthetases). tRNAs cope with the degeneracy of the genetic code in two manners: having more than one tRNA (with a specific anti-codon) for a particular amino acid; and 'wobble' base-pairing, i.e. permitting non-standard base-pairing at the 3rd anti-codon position.
Source: RNAcentral
GGGAAGAUGGCUGAGUGGUGAAAGCGUUGGUUUGCUAAACCAAAAAGUAUAGUUUACUUCGCGAGUUCGAAUCUCGUUCUUCCCU